CGGCCGCGGUAUCCUAACCGUGCAAAGGUAGCAUAAUCAUUUGUCUAUUAAUUGUAGACCCGUAUGAAAGGCAAAAUGAGAGCCUAACUGUCUCUUAUAACAAAUCAAUUAAACUGAUCUCCCAGUACAAAAGCUGGGAUACCCACAUAAGACCAGAAGACCCUGUGAAGCUUUAACUAACCUAUUAAACCUCAUAAUAACUAUUUCGGUUGGGGCGACCUUGGAAUAAAAAAGAACUUCCAGGCAGACAGGCCGACCCAGCUGAUACAUGAACCAAGUUACUCCAGGGAUAACAGCGCUAUCUUCUUUAAGAGCCCAUAUCAAAAAGAAGGUUUACGACCUCGAUGUUGGAUCAGGACAUCCUAGCAAUGCAACAGUUACUAAGGGUUCGUUUGUUCAACGAUUAAUAGUCCUACGUGAUCUGA
This 425-nucleotide ribosomal RNA is filed under the name Bitis arietans (puff adder). Its description in RNAcentral is "partial 16S ribosomal RNA". It matches the Rfam family "Bacterial large subunit ribosomal RNA", at positions 1928 to 2608 of the family's 2925-position model. Lineage: Eukaryota; Metazoa; Chordata; Lepidosauria; Squamata; Viperidae. The record is from RNAcentral.